AGUUCGGAUCGGAGUCUGCAACUCGACUCCGUGAAGCUGGAUUCGCUAGUAAUCGCGCAUCAGCCAUGGCGCGGUGAAUACGUUCCCGGGCCUUGUACACACCGCCCGUCAAGCCAUGGGAGCCGGGGGUACCUGAAGUCCGUAACCGCGAGGAUCGGCCUAGGGUAAAACUGGUGACUGGGGCUAAGUCGUAACAAGGUAAC
This 203-nucleotide ribosomal RNA is filed under the name uncultured bacterium. RNAcentral's name for it is "partial 16S ribosomal RNA". It matches the Rfam family "Bacterial small subunit ribosomal RNA", at positions 1290 to 1500 of the family's 1533-position model. The record is from RNAcentral.